UCAAUCCCAACUACUGUAUACGUGAACAGUACUGUAUACGUAAAUAGUGCCGUAUACGUAAAUAGUGCCAUAAAUGGUCGUAUUCCCCAAGUACGAAUCUGGCUCUGAUACCAAUUAUUGUGCGGAAGCGUGUGAAAGAGUAAAAUUAUUGUACUAAAAAUCACACUAAGUUUAAUUCCCAGGAAAGAGAGGUGGAUCACGAG
This 203-nucleotide long non-coding RNA is filed under the name Gossypium barbadense (sea-island cotton). Its description in RNAcentral is "long non-coding RNA (GBAR_LNC000055)". The record is from RNAcentral. Lineage: Eukaryota; Viridiplantae; Streptophyta; Magnoliopsida; Malvales; Malvaceae.